Molecule: ribosomal RNA, 449 nt
Filed under: uncultured bacterium
Lineage: Bacteria
Description: bacterial SSU rRNA
Rfam family: Bacterial small subunit ribosomal RNA
Source: RNAcentral
AACGAACGCUGGCGGCAGGCCUAACACAUGCAAGUCGAACGCUGUAGCAAUACAGAGUGGCAGACGGGUGAGUAACGCGUGGGAACGUGCCCUUUGGUUCGGAAUAACCCAGGGAAACUUGGGCUAAUACCGGAUACGUCCGUGAGGAGAAAGAUUUAUCGCCAAAGGAUCGGCCCGCGUCGGAUUAGCUAGUUGGUGAGGUAAAGGCUCACCAAGGCGACGAUCCGUAGCUGGUCGAGAGGAUGACCAGCCACACUGGGACUGAGACACGGCCCAGACUCCUACGGGAGGCAGCAGUGAGGAAUAUUGGACAAUGGGCGCAAGCCUGAUCCAGCCAUGCCGCGUGAGUGAAGAAGGCCUUAGGGUUGUAAAGCUCUUUCAGCGGGGAAGAUAAUGACGGUACCUGCAGAAGAAGCCCCGGCUAACUCCGUGCCAGCAGCCGCCGUAAG